GGGGAAUCUUGCGCAAUGGGCGAAAGCCUGACGCAGCAACGCCGCGUGCGGGAAGAAGGCCUUCGGGUUGUAAACCGCUUUCAGAAGGAACGAAACUGACGGUACUUUCAGAAGAAGGUGCGGCCAACUACGUGCCAGCAGCCGCGGUGACACGUAGGCACCAAGCGUUGUCCGGAUUUAUUGGGCGUAAAGAGCUCGUAGGCGGUUCAGUAAGUCGGGUGCGAAAACUUUGGGCUUAACCCAAAGCGUGCACUCGAUACUGCUGUGACUGGAGUUCGGUAGGGGAGCGGGGAAUUCCUAGUGUAGCGGUGAAAUGCUCAGAUAUUAGGAGGAACACCGGUGGCGAAGGCGCCGCUCUGGGCCGAUACUGACGCUGAGGAGCGAAAGCGUGGGUAGCAAAC
Molecule: ribosomal RNA, 401 nt
Filed under: uncultured bacterium
Lineage: Bacteria
Description: bacterial SSU rRNA
Rfam family: Bacterial small subunit ribosomal RNA
Source: RNAcentral